GACGUAGGGCGCGAGCGUUUGUCCGGAUUUAUUGGGCGUAAAGAGCUCGUAGGCGGCUUGUUGCGUCGACUGUGAAAACCCGCGGCUUAACUGCGGGCUUGCAGUUGAUACGGGCAGGCUAGAGUUCGGUAGGGGAGACUGGAAUUCCUGGUGUAGCGGUGAAAUGCGCAGAUAUCAGGAGGAACACCGGUGGCGAAGGCGGGUCUCUGGGCCGAUACUGACGCUGAGGAGCGAAAGCGUGGGGAGCGAACAGG
RNAcentral lists this ribosomal RNA (254 nucleotides) under uncultured bacterium. Its description in RNAcentral is "partial 16S ribosomal RNA". It matches the Rfam family "Bacterial small subunit ribosomal RNA", at positions 524 to 776 of the family's 1533-position model. The record is from RNAcentral.